Molecule: long non-coding RNA, 2318 nt
Filed under: Xyrichtys novacula (pearly razorfish)
Lineage: Eukaryota; Metazoa; Chordata; Actinopteri; Labriformes; Labridae
Source: RNAcentral
GCUUUUAUUGAAUCCGUUUUGUUUUGUAUGUCUUCAGUUUCUUAGAAAUAAUUUUCUUUUUUUUUUUCUUUCUCUUAGACAUAUCAUCUUUUUCAUGUACCUUGACAUGGAAACUUCAACGGAAACUUCCGCCUUCCUCUUCCUCGAGUGAAAAAGAUGACAUGUCUGAGAUAAAGGAAAAAAGAAAACUAUUUCUAAGGUUUUGUCCGCACCAAAAGGUUCGAUUUCUGAUAUGAACCAAAGCGAAGAUGAUACAUUGUUGCAAUUUCUCAGCUGGUUCGGUUCGUGUUCACAAAGUCCAAACUCAAACGGUCCAAAAAUUGUCACAUGACAGCAAAAGCCGAUCUGUGAUUGCUUUAAAGUUUGGGUGAGUUGACGACAAAUCCCUCGCAUUUUUUACUGAACAUCAUGGAGCAUCUGAUCUGGACUGCAUAUCAGAAGACUUUAACGAACCACGUGUAUGAACGGCUGGGGAGACUGUGGCAGUUAAAUAAUGUAUUAAUACACACAUGUCGCAGGAGACGCUCUGCAAUCGGAUGGUCAUAUCACAGAAGAUGACAGUCAAUAACAAGAGCCUACCAUGAUGUUUUUUUUCGAGGCAGGCUUCCUGUGAUUGAUGCGAAUGGGGUUCACACCAGAAGUAAACCACUCUAGAGUCCACUUGAUAGCGGUCUGAGACCGCCCCUACCAGGCGGACCUGAGAGCGGUUGACUGGUCCGCACCAGAUUUCAAGGCCAGCGUUCACACCAACCAAAACGAACCGCACCACAGAGGUGAACGCUAAGUCCCAGCUGGACUGAACUGGACUGAACUGGACUAAACGCGGCUGGUGUGAACGGGACCUAAAAAACUAAAGACAUAAUGAACAUCAUUCAACUAUUAAAAGUUAUGGAAAAAGGAAAGCAGAAGUUUCCGCCAAAACGUGUCUAGGUACGUGAAACAGAUUACAUGUCUGAGAUAGAGGGGAAAAAAGAAAACUAUUUACAUUUUGUUUUGUUCUCCAAAUAAAGUCGUCCCCAAACUUCUCUUUGGCAUAAACUCUCAAAAAAAUCAGUCAUACCCAUUUUAACUUUUUGGGUUCGCCUCCUCACUUUUCACCUUUUUUCUUUUUUGAAUUUUUCUCUCUUGUUUGAGGCUUUGAAGUUUUUUGGCGUUCGCACCCAUGAGAUGCAAAAGAAUGAUCAAAGUAAUUCAUGUAGUGGAGCAGCUCCAAUUAAGACGACGAACCUGUGAAAACACACAAACCAAAGUAACCGGCCUGCUGGAGAUUAGCCGGAGGAUCACACAAAGGGAAUCUGUCGACUUAUUUAUCUUAAAAGUAGAAAAGUGAGAGGGAUGAGGGAAACCAGAACGUUUUGAGACACGACACACACUGUGUCUGUGCCGAUUAGGUUAUCCUGGCUCUUUCUUUUUUUUUUUGAAGACCCAAACAACUUUACUAUAGAUUCACCCACAUCCCUGACCAUCUGCCCCACUUCACAAUGCUUCUUAAUUAGCUCUAACUGUAUACAGCGCAAUGCUAAUUCAGUUUCAGCCGUCUAAUUAGCCUAGAGAGCCAUUACUUCUGAUUUCUCUGCAUCAGCAUUUCUUCUCCUCUUUCUUCUUGCCCCUUAUUUAUUCAUCUCAUUUCCCUCUUACUGUUACUCCUCUCUGCAGGAGACCGACCCUGUUCUCACGCUUUCUCUGACACAGAAACACACAUUUAUCACACAUGUACGCCUGUAUGAACCGAAUCAUCUACAUGUCUGUGCACACGCCCUGUUGGAUGCAGUUGAAGGGCAAAGGUGCCUCUGAGUCAAAUCGCAGAAAAAGCAGAAAUAGUGACAAUUGCGAUCUGAAUUUAAUAUGCUUAAACAAAGAUUAUGAAACAGCUCUUACAAUAAUCAUGCGCCCCAGAUCUCAUUCCCGUCACCUCUAGAUCUGAAACCGAUCACAGGCGCAGGCAGAGUCACGCCUGGUUCACACUGGAAGCGCCGCGCGCGGAACGGAAGCGCCGCGCACAGAGUUUCGGAUCGGCGCCCAUGUUAACCUAUGAGACUGUUCACACAGCACGCGCGCGGAAGCGCCGCGCGCGGAACGGCUCGCGCUCUGGAGCGCGGGUGCUCCGCUUCUCUCUAUUUUCGGCGCGAGCCGCGAGCGCCGAUGUAAAGCUCAACAGAGCAGAUCGGACCAGACAGGAAGUCAGGAAGGAGAUGCGAGAGAAUCCGGUCAAUUUUCAAAAUAAAGUAAAUUUCAAUAAAUUAGAAAAGGAUUUACGGUGUUGCUUGUCAGUCUAUUUUUUUUACCGAUGAACACACACACACACACACACACACACA